AGGAUGAACGCUAGCUACAGGCUUAACACAUGCAAGUCGAGGGGCAGCAUAUUUUUAGCUUGCUAAGAAUGAUGGCGACCGGCGCACGGGUGAGUAACGCGUAUCCAACCUUCCCAUGGCUCAGGGAUAACCUUGCGAAAGUAAGCCUAAUACCUGAUAUCCUCUUUAGCAGGCAUCUAAAGAAGAGGAAAGAUUUAUCGGCGAUGGAUGGGGAUGCGUCCGAUUAGCUUGCCGGUGGGGUAAAGGCCCACCGGGGCGACGAUCGGUAGGGGUUCUGAGAGGAAGGUCCCCCACAUUGGAACUGAGACACGGUCCAAACUCCUACGGGAGGCAGCAGUGAGGAAUAUUGGUCAAUGGGCGAGAGCCUGAACCAGCCAAGUAGCGUGCAGGACGACGGCCCUAUGGGUUGUAAACUGCUUUUAUACGGGAAUAAAGUGAUGCCUGCGGGCGUUAUUGCAUGUACCGUACGAAUAAGGACCGGCUAAUUCCGUGCCAGCAGCCGCGGUAAUACGGAAGGUCCGGGCGUUAUCCGGAUUUAUUGGGUUUAAAGGGAGCGUAGGCCGUCCUUUAAGCGUGUUGUGAAAUGUAGGCGCUCAACGCCUGCACUGCAGCGCGAACUGAAGGACUUGAGUGUGCACGACGCUGGCGGAAUUCGUGGUGUAGCGGUGAAAUGCUUAGAUAUCACGAAGAACUCCGAUUGCGAAGGCAGCUGGCGAGAGCACAACUGACGCUGAAGCUCGAAAGUGCGGGUAUCGAACAGGAUUAGAUACCCUGGUAGUCCGCACGGUAAACGAUGGAUGCCCGCCGUGGGUAUCGUAGAUAUCCGCGGCCAAGCGAAAGCGUUAAGCAUCCCACCUGGGGAGUACGCCGGCAACGGUGAAACUCAAAGGAAUUGACGGGGGCCCGCACAAGCGGAGGAACAUGUGGUUUAAUUCGAUGAUACGCGAGGAACCUUACCCGGGCUUGAAUUGCAGAUGAAGGAAACAGAGAUGUUGACGCCCUUCGGGGCAUCUGUGAAGGUGCUGCAUGGUUGUCGUCAGCUCGUGCCGUGAGGUGUCGGCUUAAGUGCCAUAACGAGCGCAACCCCUUUUCUCAGUUGCCAUCAGGUUAAGCUGGGCACUCUGGGGAUACUGCCACCGCAAGGUGUGAGGAAGGUGGGGAUGACGUCAAAUCAGCACGGCCCUUACGUCCGGGGCUACACACGUGUUACAAUGGCCGGUACAGAGAGUUAGGUUACUGCAAAGUGACCGGAUCAAWAAAGCCGGUCCCAGUUCGGACUGGGGUCUGCAACCCGACCCCACGAAGCUGGAUUCGCUAGUAAUCGCGCAUCAGCCAUGGCGCGGUGAAUACGUUCCCGGGCCUUGUACACACCGCCCGUCAAGCCAUGAAAGCCGGGGGUGCCUGAAGUCCGUGACCGCAAGGGUCGGCCUAGGGCAAAACUGGUAAUGGGGAU
Molecule: ribosomal RNA, 1453 nt
Filed under: uncultured bacterium
Lineage: Bacteria
Description: bacterial SSU rRNA
Rfam family: Bacterial small subunit ribosomal RNA
Source: RNAcentral